UACAGAGGUCUCAAGCGUUGUUCGGAUUCAUUGGGCGUAAAGGGUGCGUAGGCGGCGCGGUAAGUCGGGUGUGAAAUCUCGGAGCUUAACUCCGAAACUGCAUUCGAUACUGCCGUGCUUGAGGACUGGAGAGGAGACUGGAAUUUACGGUGUAGCGGUGAAAUGCGUAGAGAUCCGGAGGAACCCCAGAGGCGAAGGCGGCGCCCUGGCUCGCACCUGACGCUCAGACACGACAGCAUGGGGAGCGAACGGG
RNAcentral lists this ribosomal RNA (253 nucleotides) under uncultured bacterium. RNAcentral describes it as "partial 16S ribosomal RNA". It matches the Rfam family "Bacterial small subunit ribosomal RNA", at positions 524 to 776 of the family's 1533-position model. The record is from RNAcentral.